Molecule: ribosomal RNA, 1539 nt
Filed under: Pristurus rupestris rupestris
Lineage: Eukaryota; Metazoa; Chordata; Lepidosauria; Squamata; Sphaerodactylidae
Description: 16S ribosomal RNA
Rfam family: Bacterial large subunit ribosomal RNA
Source: RNAcentral
GCCCACCAUCGAGCCUAUUACCCCCACCCAAAUUUUUCCCCCGUUUUCCCCCCCAAACCAUUUAUCGAGCCUAGUAUAUGCGAUAGAAAGACCUUUUAGCGCCAUAGUACACCUGUACCGCAAGGGACCAUUGAAAGAUUACUGAAACCCAAAGCACCAUAUAGCAGAGCUCCUAGCCCGUACCUUUUGCAUCAUGGUUUAGCAAGCACAAACAAGUAGAAUGAUUUUUAACCUGCCCCCCCGAAACUGAACGAGCUAUCCUACAGCACUACUACUCCCGUCUCUGUUGCAAAAGAGUGGGACGACCGUAAGAUAGAGGUGACAUGCCUAUCCGCGUUCAGUGAUAGCUGGUUGCUCAGCAAACGAACUUUAGUUCACCUAUAGGACACCAUACCAACCACCCUCCACAGGUACACCACACCCCUAUAAUAUAUACAAUAAAGGUACAACUUUAUUGUAAUCGGAUACAACCGAUCACAGCGGACCCGUUAUUCUCUUUUUUCCUCGUAGGCCUCCAAGCAGCCACCAAAAAAACUGCGUCACAGCACCUACACCUCAAAUCCCAUUAAAAUCCACCACCCCCUGCCACCCAACUGAGCCACUCCACCGCAAGGUGGAAGCAAUACUGCUAAAACUAGUAAUAAGGGUAACCCCUCUCACGCGCACCCUUUAGCCGGACUCCGAUACCCGACCGGCAAUUAACCAUAACACCCUAGAAACCCCCAAGCCCACCUACUACACCAAUUGUAACCCCGACACUGGUGCGCCACGAAAGAAAGAUUAACCGCCCUGAAAGGAACUCAGCUAACGCGCCCCACCUGUUUACCAAAAACAUCGCCUCUAGCCCGCCCAAUAUUAGAGGUCCUGCCUGCCCAGUGAAAAUUUUUAAACGGCCGCGGUACCCUGACCGUGCAAAGGUAGCGCAAUCACUUGUCCCCUAAAUAGGGACCCGUAUGAAUGGUCAUAUGAGGGCACGCCUGUCUCACCAAGCAAAUCAAUGAACCUGAUCUCCCAGUACAAAAGCUGGGAUAACCACGCAGGACGAGAAGACCCUGUGGAGCUUUAAACCCGAAGAUUGCGCCCCCACGGCCCCCAAUCUCCAGUUUUUAGUUGGGGUGACUACGGAAUACAACAAAACUUCCGUUAUCCAAGCUAACCCCUUGCCAUGGCCCACACGCCACCGCAACCAUUUUGCAUGACCCGGCACCUGCGCCGAUCAACGAACCAAGUUACCCCAGGGAUAACAGCGCCAUCCCCUUCAAGAGCCCAUAUCGCCAAGGGGGCUUACGACCUCGAUGUUGGAUCAGGACACCCCGGUGGUGCAGUCGCUACCAAAGGUUCGUUUGUUCAACGAUUAACCAGUCCUACGUGAUCUGAGUUCAGACCGGAGCAAUCCAGGUCGGUUUCUAUCUGCUAUAUAGGCCCCUCAGUACGAAAGGAUCGGGGGCCCAGUGCCACUGGGUCCCCUACGCACUGACAAAACCUCUGACAAAACCUCAAGAUGCCACCAUCCCACUAUAAGCCCAAGCCAAGGGUUAA